GACGAACGCUGGCGGCGUGCUUAACACAUGCAAGUCGAACGGAAAGGCCCUGCUUUUGUGGGGUGCUCGAGUGGCGAACGGGUGAGUAACACGUGAGUAACCUGCCCUUGACUUUGGGAUAACUUCAGGAAACUGGGGCUAAUACCGGAUAGGAGCUCCUGCUGCAUGGUGGGGGUUGGAAAGUUUCGGCGGUUGGGGAUGGACUCGCGGCUUAUCAGCUUGUUGGUGGGGUAGUGGCUUACCAAGGCUUUGAUGGGUAGCCGGCCUGAGAGGGUGACCGGCAACAUUGGGACGGAGAUACGGCCCAGACUCCUCCGGGAGGCAGCAGUGGGGAAUAUGGCACAAUGGGCGGAAGCCUGAUGCAGCAACGCCGCGUGCGGGAUGACGGCCUUCGGGUUGUAAACCGCUUCCGCCUGUGACGAAGCGUGAGUGACGGUAAUGGGUAAAGAAGCACCGGCUAACUACGUG
Molecule: ribosomal RNA, 468 nt
Filed under: uncultured bacterium
Lineage: Bacteria
Description: partial 16S ribosomal RNA
Rfam family: Bacterial small subunit ribosomal RNA
Source: RNAcentral